UUGAUUACGUCCCUGCCCUUUGUACACACCGCCCGUCGCUGCCCGGGAAUGAGCCAUUUCGAGAAUUUGGGGACCGUUGAUUAAACAUUUAUUUGUUUUUUUGAUGGAAACCAAUUUAAUCGCAGUGGCUUGAACCGGGCAAAAGUCGUAACAAGGUAGCUGUAGGUGAACCUGCUGCUGGAUCAUUAC
RNAcentral lists this ribosomal RNA (189 nucleotides) under Meloidogyne graminicola. RNAcentral describes it as "partial 18S ribosomal RNA". It matches the Rfam family "Eukaryotic small subunit ribosomal RNA", at positions 1641 to 1831 of the family's 1831-position model. Lineage: Eukaryota; Metazoa; Nematoda; Chromadorea; Rhabditida; Meloidogynidae. The record is from RNAcentral.